AGUUCCUGCCCCAAGUGGAGGAGUUCAAGUAUCUCGGGGUCUUGUUCGCGAGUGUGGCUGCCGUCAGCAGCAGUCAUGCAGUUAAAGAUAAUUUCAUGGUUUAAGUUGCAAUAAAUAAGUUAAAAAUACUUUAUUUUAAUAUAUCAGAUUUAAUGUAUACAUCGUUGGGUUUAAAAAUACACAUUUAAAUGGUUUACAGAAUGUUUCCAGGGUGGAACCAAUGUUCAGUCUGUUGUUUUGGGGUUGACAGUAUUUUCAGUUGCACGCCACACUUGAUAGAGGGCAGCAUGCUUUCUUCUGUCACUCGGUGGUAGAGCUAUGCAGACGCAUGCAACGAAGUUUUCCAGCUGUGAAAAGAAGUGACACUGCAAGAUGUGUUUUCAUUAACCCCUGCAAGUUAAUGCGGCCAAUGAGGUAUGCAAUGUGUGUUUAUGUCGUGAUAGGGAAAUAAGAUGUUUGUUUGUAACUGAACUGUUGAGUUUAUGGUGGUCACGUGUAAUUUGUAAAUGUAAAAUUGUGAGUGUUUUAUCUUGUUUAAUAAUGUGCUUUAUUGUUUAUUCUCUAUGAGAACAAUUUAUUGUGGAAAUUGAUUAUUCUAUGUUGUUUGUAUAGUUCUCACGGCAUCGUUGGUGGCACCUGUGUGCAAUAAAUGCCAGUAAAAAUCAAGAACGCCUUGUGUCCGUUUUUCAACUUGGAGGGAGUUACAGUGAGAACUCAGUCUGCUCGACAUGAGGCGAGGAGACGAGGAGCUGUGCCUUUCAUCCACUGAGCAAGAAGAAAUUCAUCGCACUCUAGCAUCAUACAGAUAAGACUGUGCAUACGCCAGUAACCUAAGCAGCAAGCAGUUGAAGUUUACGUGGAUGAUCCUUUAAGUGAUACAUUUAAAACAAGUUAAAUGUUAAGAAGUGGAUCAAUUUUGUCAACUGCUUUAAAGGAACACUGUAAGAACUGAAACUUUAAGUAAUCUGGUGCUCUGCAUAUUUUCUUUCUAAGUUCAUGGUUCUGUCCAAUUAAGAGUUUUUAUAGGUGAAGUCAUUUACCUAUUUGUGUUAUUUGGAUGCUAGAAGUGUUGUAGAAUUAAGUGCUGCGUUGUAUGUGUUGUUGGUAUUCGGAAAAAGUUCACCAUAUUUACGCGACUCAAGAUGGUAUUUAUUUAGAUAUUUUAUUAAGGUUUAAGAUGUUGUAAAUCUUGAAGGUAUUAUCCAUUGUUAAUGUUUUGGACAAGUUCACCUAAAGGCAAGGUUAAAGGUAUAGCUAUAAUUUAUUUUGUGCCAAGUAAUAAGUAAACAUUGCAAAAUGGAUCAAAUGAGUGAAUCUGAAACUAAGAAUAGUGACUUACUUGAGGGUAGUAGUGCCACAAAUGUACAGCAGUCACGUGAAGAGGAGCCACGAAGAAGUCAGAGAUCUCGAAAGCUUACUGAAAAGGCUCAGCAACUGCAUGAUGAUAAGUCAAGAAAACUUCAGCAUCGUUUCACUACAACUUAUGAUAAGUGGAAAGUAACCGCCAAGCAAGCUAAGAAAAUGAUAAAGGGAGCCCCCUCUGUUGAGGUUGUUAAGGAUUUGAUGUGUAAGUUAAGUUGUGCAUCAGCAAAUGUGAAAAACGCAUAUGAAGAUUUGCGCAAAUGUGCUUCCCCAGACAGUGAGAUCCGUCGUAGAGUAGACACCUGUGACGCGGUAUCUAAAAUAAUCUUGGACAAUGCAACCACUUAUCUUCAGAAUAAAGAUAACGAAGAUGUUCAGACAGAGGAUUUAGUCUGGCCUAAGUCUAGUUCAGUGUUUUCAUCUUCAGCUUCUCAAGGCAAAGGUAAGGGCUCUCAAAGAAGUUUAAGCUCUGCAAGCAGUUCCAGCAUAAAGUCACGAAAGUCAAGCCUUUUCUCCAUUAAGAGACAAGAGGCCGUAGCAGAGCUGGCUGCCACACAAGCUGCAUUAAAGGUCCUGCAGGAGAUAGAAUGUGAACAACAGGAACUUGAAAGCCUUGAAGAAGAGGAUAGAAAGAGGAUUGCAUUACAAGAGGAAGAGAAUGUGGCAAGAAAGAAAGCACUGGAAGAGAAGCGCAGACAAAUAGAGCGCUUACAGACUGUUAAGAAGCUAAGUGCGGCAAAAGCACGGUUCCAAGUUUAUGAACAAGAUGCAAGCUCAGAUGAGGAAAUAACAGAGUUACUUCAUAACCACGCAGCUCAGCAACAUAGAUCUCCAGGAGCUAUAAGGAGUCCACGUGAGCAUCCUGUGAUACACCAAGCAGAUAGUGUCACAGUCCUCGCUGAAGCAAUAGCAGAGUCUAUUAAUGUAAGCCGUCUCCCAGCACCUGAACCGUCUGUCUUCAUGGGAGACCCACUAAGAUACAAUGAUUGGAAGAUGUCAUUUCAAACCCUAAUAGGCAGGAAAAACAUUCCAGUAAAUGAAAGGGUCUAUUACCUUCGUAAAUAUGUUGGUGGACCUGCAAAAAGGGCCAUUGAAAGUUAUUUCCUAUUGGGAACGGAUGCAGCUUACAACUCAGCAUGGGAUAUCCUGGAAGAAAGAUUUGGAAGCUCAUUUGUGAUAGCUAAAGCUUUCAAGGAUAAGCUUGCAGCAUGGCCCAAAAUUGGACCCAAAGACAGUGUUGAGCUGAGGGAUUUUUCAGACUUUCUUAGAGGCUGCCAGGCUGCAAUGUCCCAGAUUAAGAGUCUGGAAGUAUUGAACGAUUGUGAUGAAAAUCAAAAACUUCUAACAAAACUGCCAGAUUGGCUGGUGACCAGUUGGAAUAGGAAGGUGAUUGAAAUAGAAGAAACGUGUAAUGUGUUUCCUACUUUCAGUCAGUUUGUGGAAUUCAUCACAAAGGAAGCAAAAAUAGCUUGCAAUCCAGUAACCUCUCUUCAUGCCCUGAAGUCCAAUGAUGUUGAAAAAAUAAAGACAACAAAGACUCGAAACAUUGGUGCAAAGGUGUUUGUGAGCAAAUUGGAAGAGAAUGUAGAACGCAAGAGAUACACCUUUUGUGAAAAAUGCAAUCAUGGUAUUCAGACAUGCUGGAAAUUCAAGGAAAAACCAGUUGCCGAACGUGUUAAAUUUGUCCAGACAAAGAAGUUGUGCUUUGGAUGUUUACAACCAGGACAUCAUUCAAAGACCUGCAAAAGGAGGAGUGUUUGUGAAACAUGUAAGGAAAAACACCCAACAUGUUUACAUGAAGAUCGCGAAAGAGCAACCAGAAGAGAGAAAAGCAGUGAUGAGCAUGGGGAAAGUGUAAAAAACUCAAAAUAUGCUAUGUCAACGGAAAGAACAGAGAGCAAACACACCCCUGAACCAUCAAAUGAAGCUACAUCAAACAGAGUAGUGCAAGGUAUGGACAGCAUGUACUCCUCCACAGUUGUUCCAGUUUGGUUAUCUGCAUCGAGUAACCCAGAGAAUGAAAUUCUUGUAUAUGCACUACUUGACAACCAAAGCGACACCACAUUCAUUAUGCAAGAUAAAGCAGAAGCUCUGGACAUGAAAGGGGAAGCUGUGCAGUUAAAACUCUCCACACUUUCAUCCAGAAAUACAAUCAUCCCAAGUCAAAGGUUAGUUGGACUGCAGGUGAGAGGUUUCUAUUCAUCAAAGAAGAUUUCUCUCCCUGUAACCUAUUCAAGAGAGUUCAUCCCUGCCAAUCUAAGUCACAUUCCUACACCAAAAACGGCAAGAGCUUGGCUACACCUAGAGCAUCUUGCUGAGGAAAUUGCUCCAUUGAUUGAGUGUGAUGUAGGACUUCUCAUAGGAUACAACUGUCCACAGGCUUUGCUACCCCGAGAGGUUGUCCCAGGUAAAGACAAUGAGCCAUUUGCUCAAAGGACAGAUCUUGGAUGGAGCAUAGUUGGUUGUGUUAGCCCGUGUGUCGACUAUGGUGAUGCUAUAGGAAGCAGUCACAAGAUUGUCAUGAAGUCAGUGAAACCUCAUCUCCAGACAUCUAAGAAGCUCACAAAUGAAGUGAAAUACAUAUGUCGAACCCAAGUUAAGGAGUUCAUUUCACCACCAGAUGUGCUGAGGAUGCUUGAGUCUGACUUCAGUGAGAGAAGAGUGGAGGAUGCUAAAUUAUCCCAGGAAGAUUUGCGUUUCCUAACCAUAAUGGAAGAAGGAAUCAAAAUUAAAGCAGAUGGUCACUGUGAAAUGCCGCUUCCCUUCAAGAAAGAUCGACCAAAUCUCCCAGACAAUAAGGUAUGUGCAGUUCACAGGCUUCGAUGCUUGAAAGGAAGAUUUGAAAAAGACAAACAAUACCAAAAGGACUACACGACCUUUAUGAGUGAAAUCAUAACAAAUGGGGAUGCAGAAAGGGUCCCAAUAGGAGAAAUUAACAACAGUCCUGUGUGGUACAUUCCUCAUCACGGGGUGUAUCACCCACACAAGCCAGGAAAAAUACGGGUUGUGUUCGACUGCUCAGCAAGAUAUGAAGGCGUGUCAUUAAAUGAUUACCUUCUCACUGGACCAGAAUUAACGAACAGCCUGAUAGGUGUUCUCUGCCGCUUUCGCAAGGGACAAGUUGCUAUAAUGUGUGAUAUUGAGCGUAUGUUCCAUCAGUUUCACGUCAAAGCAGAGGACCAGGACUACUUGAGAUUUCUCUGGUGGGACGAUGGAAACUUCCAGGCUCAAUCAUCAGUCUAUCGCAUGCGAGUGCACCUAUUUGGAGCUGCCUCUUCCCCUGGUUGUGCAAACUUUGGCUUGAAACAUGUUGCUGCCCAAGGACAUGGUCAUUACAGUGAAACAACCAUUCAGUUCAUUGAACGAAACUUUUACGUGGAUGAUGGGCUCACAAGUGUCGCAACCAAGGAGGAAGCCAUCAAGUUAGUAAAGGAAGCAAGGCAACUCUGCAGUGCUGGCAAACUGCGAAUUCACAAAUUCAUUUCCAACAAUCAUGAAGUACUUGCAUCCAUUCCAGAGAGUGAACGUGCAGAUUCAGUACGAAAUCGUGACUUGGAUCUUGGUGAGUCCCAAAUUGAGAGAGCUCUGGGAAUCAAAUGGUGCAUUGUUUCAGACCAGUUCCAUUUUAGAGUGAUUGUGGAAGAACGCCCACUUUCUAGAAGAGGAGUCUUAUCAACUGUGGCAUCCAUCUAUGACCCUCUUGGCUUUGUGGCACCAUUUGUUCUGGUUGGAAAGCAAAUACUCCAACAGAUGUGUCAAGACAAGGUUGGAUGGGAUGAGCCACUGUCAGAAGAGCUCAAACCACGGUGGGAGUCUUGGCUGUUAGAUUUAAAGAACCUGGCUGACAUCAAAAUUCAGCGCUGUCAUCUUCCAGAAGGUUUUGAGAAAGUUGAAAGAUAUGAGCUGCAUCAUUUCUCAGAUGCGAGUGUUAAAGGGUACGGUGAAUGUUCUUACUUGAGAGCAAUCAGUGUCUCAAACCAAGUCCACUGCUCUCUAGUUAUUGGCAAAGCCAGGGUGACUCCUACAAAGGUCACCACAGUACCCAGGCUUGAGCUAUCAGCAGCAGUUAUUGCCGUGCGAAUGAGUGAGCUGCUUAAAAGGGAGUUGGAAGUUCAAGCCAAAGAAUUCUUCUGGACAGAUUCGAAGGUUGUUCUUGGAUACAUCAACAACGAUGCUAGAAGGUUUCACAUAUUUGUGGCAAAUCGCAUUCAGCGUAUCCAAGAAGGUUCUAAUCCAGACCAAUGGAGAUAUGUGACUUCUGAGAACAAUCCUGCUGACCAUGCAUCACGGGGUCUGACAGCAAAGGGACUAAUUACUUCCAACUGGUUCACCGGUCCAGAUUUUCUCUGGCAGGAUAAACUUCCUGCUGAUGACAUUAAGGCGGGAGAGUUGGGAGCUGAAGAUCCAGAACUUCGUAAGACUUUUGUCCAUAAGACACUGACCACAGAAGAUUCGUUGCUCAAUCAUUUCUCAAGGUUCUCAAACUGGAUAAGGCUAGUUAAAGCCAUUGCACGACUCAUGCGAUGUGUCAAAGAGCUCAAGGGUCUGAUGGGCAGAACAAACGAAGUCACCAGUCUUGAGGAGAGGAAAGAGGCAUAGCUUUUCAUCAUAGCUACUGUCCAAAGCGAACUGUUUUUCAAAGAAAUCAAAUAUCUGAAAUCGAAGGAGACAAUAACAAGAGAUCGUGCAAAUAGGCUGUACAAACUGAAUCCCUUCUUGGAUGAAAAGGGUGUGCUAAGAGUGGGAGGUCGGCUGAAGCAUGCAGAUUUACACCCACACAUCAAACAUCCAGCGAUCUUGCCGAGCAAAACCCACAUAUCAAGGUUACUGAUUGAACACUUCCAUCAAAAGGUUCAUCACCAGGGACGUGGGAUGACUAUGAAUGAGCUGCGAUCAAAUGGCAUUUGGCUAUUGGGAUGUAGUCACGCAGUGUCUUCCUACAUCUACAAGUGUGUCAAAUGUAGGAAAUUCAGAAGGAAUGCUGAAGUACAAAGAAUGGCAGAUUUACCGCGUGAAAGAGUUGGAACAUCGCCUCCCUUUUCCUAUUGUGGAAUGGACUGCUUUGGCCCGUUUUACGUUAAGGAAGGAAGAAAGGAACUUAAACGCUACGGUCUGCUAUUCACAUGUCUGUGCUCUCGUGCUGUGCAUAUAGAGCUUCUCGACGACAUGACCAGUGAUGCCUUUAUUAAUGCUCUUCGAACCUUUAUCGCCAUACGUGGAAGUGUCCGACAGCUUCGGUCAGAUCAGGGCACCAACUUUGUUGGAGCAAGACGAGAGUUCUUGGAGUCUGCAAAGAAAAUGGACCAAGAAAGCCUAAGACAACUAGGUUGUGAGUUUGUCAUGAACCCAGCAUCUGCCAGCCAUAUGGGUGGGGCCUGGGAAAGGCAGAUCAGGACGAUUAGAAGUGUUUUGACAUCCAUUCUGGAUCAUUCAUCUAAAAGACUUGACACUUCAUCCUUGCGUACCUUCCUUUAUGAAGUCAUGGCGAUCAUAAAUAGUAGGCCCUUAACAACUCACCUGUUGAAUGAUCCCACUGGUCCACAGCCUCUUACGCCAAAUCACAUCCUGACCAUGAAGUCUUCAGUGGUUUUACCACCACCUGGUGAGUUUGUGAAGGAAGACCUUUAUCUUCGAAAAAGAUGGCGCAAGGUGCAAUACCUGGCCAAUGAAUUUUGGACCAGAUGGAAAAGGGAAUAUUUGCUGAAUCUUCAGCAGAGAGGAAAAAGGUGCAAAACACAGAGAAAUGCCAAGAUCAAUGACAUUGUGAUGCUGAUGGAUAAUAGUCUACCCAGAAAUGAGUGGAAGUUGGCCAAGGUAACCAAGGUGUACCCUAGUGAGGAUGGAAUCAUUAGGAAACUCGAGCUGCUAAUCAGUGAUGCGACAUUGGAUGACCAAGGAAAAAGAGUUAAUAAGCCAGUGUGUCUUGAGAGACCCAUCCACAAAACAGUUACCCUACUUGAAGCUGAAUAGUUCAGAACUCCUGUCUUUGUAACUUGUGUUUGGCCCAAGAGACUAUUUACACUUAUUUUUUCCUUUGCAAUGAGGUUCAGUUGAAAAUCAGCAGUGAUUUGGUGGGAGUGUGGCUGCCGUCAGCAGCAGUCAUGCAGUUAAAGAUAAUUUCAUGGUUUAAGUUGCAAUAAAUAAGUUAAAAAUACUUUAUUUUAAUAUAUCAGAUUUAAUGUAUACAUCGUUGGGUUUAAAAAUACACAUUUAAAUGGUUUACAGAAUGUUUCCAGGGUGGAACCAAUGUUCAGUCUGUUGUUUUGGGGUUGACAGUAUUUUCAGUUGCACGCCACACUUGAUAGAGGGCAGCAUGCUUUCUUCUGUCACUCGGUGGUAGAGCUAUGCAGACGCAUGCAACGAAGUUUUCCAGCUGUGAAAAGAAGUGACACUGCAAGAUGUGUUUUCAUUAACCCCUGCAAGUUAAUGCGGCCAAUGAGUUCUCACGGCAUCGUUGGUGGCACCUGUGUGCAAUAAAUGCCAGUAAAA
RNA transcript from Oreochromis niloticus (Nile tilapia), 7851 nucleotides. RefSeq lists it as uncharacterized. The transcript has 2 exons. Lineage: Eukaryota; Metazoa; Chordata; Actinopteri; Cichliformes; Cichlidae. The record is from RefSeq and is a predicted model, not a curated record.